Molecule: non-coding RNA, 90 nt
Organism: Mycena rosella
Lineage: Eukaryota; Fungi; Basidiomycota; Agaricomycetes; Agaricales; Mycenaceae
Source: the annotation of a GenBank genome assembly
UCGGGCGUGGUUUAUGGGACACCGCGGGCCUCAUUAUUGAAUGGAUUCAUCGGGAGCCCGCAGACCGGGGUUCGACUCCCCGCGCCCGAA